UAUACUGAUGAAAUUUGAAGUGGGGUUCACGAACAAACGACUAAGAAAGAAUUUUUGAGAUGUCUUCAGUGCGAACAGGUGACAGAAAGAGGAUGAUGAUUGAGUUUAUGAGCCCUCUGAAGAUCUGGAAACAAUGAAUUAUGAAGUCAACUUGAAGAAGCUAGGGACAAUUCAUGUAGAAGAGGGAAGGCUCAGGUAGGGGUGAAUAAGGUGGUGUGGGGACAUGAGAACCAUCUUCAUCUGAUGAACAAGAGGAACUAGAUUUACGGGCUGCUGUGGAGGUGGAAUUAAUAGCAAUGCAGGGGCAAGGGAAGGAGUAUCACAUAGUGGAAAGUUCAUUGGUCUCAGAAUCAGGAGACCUAGACUCUGGUACUGGUUUUGUCUCUAUCUGAAUCUCCUCCUCGUUAGGGGUGGUGAAGCCAUGGUUUGGAUUGGCUGGGCAAUGACUCAGAUAAGAUUACUGGGAUUGUGGGUUGGAGACAGUGGAUCCAAAGGUAUGGGCCAGGGUGAGGAGGCAAGUCUAAGUUCUUUACAGAGAGCUAGUGAUGAAAUCCAAGCCUCAGUUUGAAGGUCCAGAGGUAGGCAAGAGUCACGAGGAUAUUAGAGCAGGAGCAGGUCAGGAAUAAGCUGGGGCAGGUGGGUUUUGGAGAAUGGUAAAAACAUGAGUAGGUGCUUUCUGCUUGCCUCUAGGUAUGUGAGGAGCCUGGUGGGGUGCACCAGUUUAGAGGGCUAGUGCAAGUCAUUAUCUAGCCAUGAGACUUGGGCUGACUGUCCUCCCAUAUCUGGGCCUCAGGUAUCUCUGGUGUGAAGUAAGGGGGCUGCAGUCAUGUCCCCCUCUGGUUUUAUGAGUUACAGGAAAGAAAUCUUGGGUGUUCUAUUAGAACAAGGUUUUCUGCCAAUUAGAGCAGUCCGCUUAUGGAUCUGGCAACCUUGGCAAGUAGAGGGAAUUCCAGAUCUAUUAGCAAGAUGAGGAGGCCCAAAUUCUGUUCUUCCACCUCUUUAAGGUAAUAGCUCUUCUAGAACAGGUGAGAACACGCCCUGCAGGUACUGUCUUUCAGUAGCAUCUGCCCCUUCAUGUUUGGCUGGCUUCUCCCAGUCAGUAGAGCUCUCACAGGAAUCGGAUGUUCUCUAUUUUGCCACAGUAGAAAGCAAUAUAAACACUCUUCAGCUA
Molecule: long non-coding RNA, 1171 nt
Organism: Leopardus geoffroyi (Geoffroy's cat)
Lineage: Eukaryota; Metazoa; Chordata; Mammalia; Carnivora; Felidae
Exons: 2
Source: RefSeq, a predicted model, not a curated record